UGAGAAACGGCUACCACAUCCAUGGAAGGCAGCAGGCGCGCAAAUUACCCAAUCCCGACACGGGGAGGUAGUGACAAUAAAUACUGAUACAGGGCUCUUUUGGGUCUUGUAAUUGGAAUGAGUACAAUUUAAACCUCUUAACGAGGAACAAUUGGAGGGCAAGUCUGGUGCCAGCAGCCGCGGUAAUUCCAGCUCCAAUAGCGUAUAUUAAAGUUGUUGCAGUUAAAAAGCUCGUAGUUGAAACUUGGGUCUGGCUGGCAGGUCCGCCUCACCGCGUGUACUUGUCCGGCCGGGCCUUCCUUCUGGAGAACCUCAUGCCCUUCACUGGGCGUGUUGGGGACCAGGACUUUUACUUUGAAAAAAUUAGAGUGUUCAAAGCAGGCCUUUGCUCGAAUACGUUAGCAUGGAAUAAUAGAAUAGGACGUGCGGUCCUAUUUUGUUGGUUUCUAGGACCGCCGUAAUGAUUAAUAGGGACAGUCGGGGGCAUCAGUAUUCAAUUGUCAGAGGUGAAAUUCUUGGAUUUAUUGAAGACUAACUACUGCGAAAGCAUUUGCCAAGGAUGUUUUCAUUAAUCAGUGAACGAAAGUUAGGGGAUCGAAGACGAUCAGAUACCGUCGUAGUCUUAACCGUAAACUAUGCCGACUAGGGAUCGGGCGAUGUUCUUUUUCUGACUCGCUCGGCACCUUACGAGAAAUCAAAG
RNAcentral lists this ribosomal RNA (700 nucleotides) under Neosetophoma shoemakeri. RNAcentral describes it as "SSU rRNA". It matches the Rfam family "Eukaryotic small subunit ribosomal RNA", at positions 397 to 1103 of the family's 1831-position model. The record is from RNAcentral. Lineage: Eukaryota; Fungi; Ascomycota; Dothideomycetes; Pleosporales; Phaeosphaeriaceae.